RNAcentral lists this ribosomal RNA (497 nucleotides) under uncultured bacterium. RNAcentral's name for it is "partial 16S ribosomal RNA". It matches the Rfam family "Bacterial small subunit ribosomal RNA", at positions 28 to 507 of the family's 1533-position model. The record is from RNAcentral.
GAUGAACGCUGGCGGCGUGCCUAAUACAUGCAAGUCGAGCGAACAGACGAGGAGCUUGCUCCUCUGACGUUAGCGGCGGACGGGUGAGUAACACGUGGAUAACCUACCUAUAAGACUGGGAUAACUUCGGGAAACCGGAGCUAAUACCGGAUAAUAUAUUGAACCGCAUGGUUCAAUAGUGAAAGACGGUUUUGAUGUCACUUAUAGAUGGAUCCGCGCCGCAUUAGCUAGUUGGUAAGUUAACGGCUUACCAAGGCAACGAUGCGUAGCCGACCUGAGAGGGUGAUCGGCCACACUGGAACUGAGACACGGUCCAGACUCCUACGGGAGGCAGCAGUAGGGAAUCUUCCGCAAUGGGCGAAAGCCUGACGGAGCAACGCCGCGUGAGUGAUGAAGGUCUUCGGAUCGUAAAACUCUGUUAUUAGGGAAGAACAAAUGUGUAAGUAACUAUGCACGUCUUGACGGUACCUAAUCAGAAAGCCACGGCUAACUACGUG